AAGAUGAGAUUUCCCAUAGCGUCAAGCUAGUAAGAACCCUGAAAGAUGAUCAGGUUGAUAGGUCAGAGGUGGAAGCGUGGUAACAUGUGGAGCUGACUGAUACUAAUCGUUCGAGGACUUAACCAAUUUUUA
RNAcentral lists this ribosomal RNA (132 nucleotides) under Bacillus sp. EB106-08-02-XG196. RNAcentral's name for it is "partial 23S ribosomal RNA". It matches the Rfam family "Bacterial large subunit ribosomal RNA", at positions 2801 to 2925 of the family's 2925-position model. Lineage: Bacteria; Bacillati; Bacillota; Bacilli; Caryophanales; Bacillaceae. The record is from RNAcentral.